AGCAUGCUCCUUAGAUCCACCAAAUGGGGCUUUUGGGCCCACCAACUUUACCGGUUGGACAUCGUUGGUGAAUGAGUCAUAAGCAUGCAAGACAAUGCACCUCCUUCUGCCAGCUGCACCGCCCCCAGCCACAUUUUGCCUCUUUUUGGCGCCGUGACCCAUACUGGGGGGGGAUGGCUGGUGCUGGGGACAAA
Small nucleolar RNA from Eriocheir sinensis (Chinese mitten crab), 194 nucleotides. RefSeq annotates it as small nucleolar RNA SNORA53. NCBI's taxonomy places the organism in Eukaryota, Metazoa, Arthropoda, Malacostraca, Decapoda, Varunidae. The transcript has a single exon. The record is from RefSeq and is a predicted model, not a curated record.